UACGUAGGGGGCGAGCGUUAUCCGGAUUUAUUGGGUGUAAAGGGUGCGUAGGCGGUUUAUUAAGUCUAAAAUUAAAGCCUGGGGCUUAACCUCAGUUCGUUUUAGAAACUGGUAGGCUUGAGUAUGGUAGAGGUAAGUGGAAUUUCUAGUGUAGCGGUUAAAUGCGUAGAUAUAUGGAAGAACACCAGUGGCGAAGGCGGCUUUCUGGACUGUAACUGACGUUGAGGCUCGAAAGUGUGGGUAGCAAACAGG
Molecule: ribosomal RNA, 252 nt
Filed under: uncultured bacterium
Lineage: Bacteria
Description: partial 16S ribosomal RNA
Rfam family: Bacterial small subunit ribosomal RNA
Source: RNAcentral